UUCUUGCCUAUUAAACUUCCCGCUCC
Molecule: non-coding RNA, 26 nt
Filed under: Homo sapiens (human)
Lineage: Eukaryota; Metazoa; Chordata; Mammalia; Primates; Hominidae
Source: RNAcentral